This 253-nucleotide ribosomal RNA is filed under the name uncultured bacterium. Its description in RNAcentral is "partial 16S ribosomal RNA". It matches the Rfam family "Bacterial small subunit ribosomal RNA", at positions 524 to 776 of the family's 1533-position model. The record is from RNAcentral.
UACGUAGGGCGCAAGCGUUAUCCGGAAUUACUGGGCGUAAAGCGUGCGCAGGCGGUAAGUUAAGUCUGAUGUGAAAGCCCCGGGCUCAACCUGGGAACGGCAUUGGAAACUGGCUUGCUGGAGUGUGGCAGAGGGGGGUGGAAUUCCGCGUGUAGCAGUGAAAUGCGUAGAGAUGCGGAGGAACACCGAUGGCGAAGGCAGCCCCCUGGGCCAACACUGACGCUCAGGCACGAAAGCGUGGGGAGCAAACAGG